GUUCACAUGGUGUAGCGGUUAUCACUCCUGUCUAACACACAGGCGGUCCCAGGUUCGAUCCCUGGUGUGAACA
This is a transfer RNA of Folsomia candida, 73 nucleotides long. It matches the Rfam family "tRNA". From Rfam's summary of the family: Transfer RNA (tRNA) molecules are approximately 80 nucleotides in length. The record is from Rfam. Lineage: Eukaryota; Metazoa; Arthropoda; Collembola; Entomobryomorpha; Isotomidae.